RNAcentral lists this ribosomal RNA (497 nucleotides) under uncultured bacterium. RNAcentral describes it as "partial 16S ribosomal RNA". It matches the Rfam family "Bacterial small subunit ribosomal RNA", at positions 28 to 507 of the family's 1533-position model. The record is from RNAcentral.
GAUGAACGCUGGCGGCGUGCCUAAUACAUGCAAGUCGAGCGAACGGACGAGAAGAUUGCUUUUCUGAUGUUAGCGGCGGACGGGUGAGUAACACGUGGAUAACCUACCUAUAAGACUGGGAUAACUUCGGGAAACCGGAGCUACUACCGGAUAAUAUUUUGAACCGCAUGGUUCAAAAGUGAAAGACGGUCUUGCUGUCUCUUAUAGAUGGAUCCGCGCUGCAUUAGCUAGUUGGUAAGGUAACGGCUUACCAAGGCAACGAUGCAUAGCCGACCUGAGAGGGUGAUCAGCCACACUGGAACUGAGACACGGUCCAGACUCCUACGGGAGGCAGCAGUAGGGAAUCUUGCGCAAUGGGCGAAAGCCUGACGGAGCAACGCCGCGUGAGUGAUGAAGGUCUUCGGAUCGUAAAACUCUGUUAUUAGGGAAGAACAUAUGUGUAAGUAACUGUGCACAUCUUGACGGUACCUAAUCAGAAAGCCACGGCUAACUACGUG